RNAcentral lists this ribosomal RNA (558 nucleotides) under uncultured bacterium. Its description in RNAcentral is "bacterial SSU rRNA". It matches the Rfam family "Bacterial small subunit ribosomal RNA", at positions 777 to 1343 of the family's 1533-position model. The record is from RNAcentral.
AAUAGAUACCCGGGUAGUCCACGCCGUAAACGAUGGAUGCUAGCUAUUGGGGGGAAUCGACCCCCUCCGAAGCGAAGCUAACGCGUUAAGCAUCCCGCCUGAGUAGUACGAGCGCAAGCUUAAAACUCAAAGGAAUUGACGGGGACCCGCACAAGCGGUGGAGCGUGUGGUUUAAUUCGAUGGUAAACGAAGAACCUUACCAAGGUUUGACAUCCCGGUAGCCGUUCUCCGAAAGGAGAAUUUCAUUUAGUUGGACCGGUGACAGGUGAUGCAUGGCCGUCGUCAGCUCGUGUCGUGAGAUGUUGGGUUAAGUCCCGCAACGAGCGCAACCCUUAUGAUUUAGUUGGAUUUUUCUAAACAGACUGCCCUGGUAACAGGGAGGAAGGAGGGGAUGAUGUCAGGUCAGUAUUUCCCUUACACCUUGGGGCGACACACGCGCUACAAUGGCCGGUACAAUGGGCAGCUAAGCCGCGAGGUGGAGCAAAUCCCAUCAAAGCCGGUCCCAGUUCGGAUUGCAGGCUGAAACCCGCCUGCAUGAAGCCGGAAUCGCUAGUAACC